This 14575-nucleotide long non-coding RNA is filed under the name Citrus x clementina. RNAcentral describes it as "Citrus clementina (C. clementina) long non-coding RNA (CCLE_LNC003032)". The record is from RNAcentral. Lineage: Eukaryota; Viridiplantae; Streptophyta; Magnoliopsida; Sapindales; Rutaceae.
GUAUUCAUUGACUCAUAAUUAUUCGCCAUAGGUUUCCACCAUACUUAAGAGUGGCACCAACAUAUUUCGCUGAACCCCUAUAUGUAAUUUAUAAAUUUCGUUUACAUGCAUAUUGCCACUCAAAACAUAUUAUAUGAAUUCACUGCAACAAGUUGCAGAAUCCCAUGGAUGAUGAAUUCACAAUGAGGAAGCAGAGAAUACUAGUCAGGGACACAAGCGGUUGAUUUUCCAUACCCGUUUUCCGUUGAUUUCCUGAGGAGAAUAUUGCAACCUGUCAUGAAAACAUACAUUACCAAUGAGGCUUACAAAUCUUUGGUUAACCACAUUUAUCCAACUCUUAAGGCCAUGCACCCACUUAAGUUCAUUCAUUUGCCAAAAACAAUGGAAAUCCUCUUUUUGAUUUUGAAGAAAACAUCUCAGAUAUGCCUAAGAAUAUGUGAAAGGCAAUAUUUUAUUUAUAAGAGUUCAUUUGAAACUUUAAAUUGAAUAAGGUUUCUAAACUCUUCAAAACAACUUAGGGAAGAGUGUCCAUUUCAUAUAGCAUGGAUUAGAUAAGAAGUUAUCCAAUGUAAAUUUAGAUCAAAAACCACAUUAUUCUGCAGAGAGCCAUACGUAGAUUCAAAUUUAACAUCCUUUUUUCUCCAUCUUUAGUGUAGCCAAUCAAAACAAGCAUGCACAGAGGAAUUGACACCCAAAUAGAUUUAACUUGAGUUUGUUUCGACACCACAGCACAAAGACAGUGAUUCAAAAGUUGCAAAUUAAUCAUAUUAAUUGUCAACAGAAUGAAGACAACAAAAAACAGUGAAAAGUACAGCACUCUUCCUAUUUCAUAUUUUUUUUUUUAAGAAAAACUGAAUCUUGACAAGAAAACGUGGAUAAAUUAAAGAAAAGGAAAGUGCAACCCUCAUAUUCCUAAAUACAAACAUCAUAAGGGUUGCACCAUAUUCAGAAAAAGGGUGUAAUCAGGAUAUCUUUGAGGUGGCUUUAUCAUCACUCAACAAAAGAUCCAAAGACCUACAAAAAGCUGGACCGCUUGUGGAUCCAAUCCAAAUACAAUUGAGAUCUCAUUGUUAAGGUCCAUACCUAACCAAUUCCAGUUACAUCCAAACCAAAAUGAUUUUGGUCUAAAGCAGAGCUCUCCAUUCUUUACAGACAAAUUAUUGCAACUAUCGAUAGAGAAAAGAAAUAAAAAUCACCUAUCAUGCAAACGAGACGUCUGUCCUUGCCAGAAUUCGAAAAGCUCUGGUUUAAGCCUGUAUCCUCCCCAGUAUUCUGGUUUUGGAAUCAAACUCCUGUCAAAACAUAAGAAAUUUACAAAGGAUUUAAAAGCAAAUUUCUCUCCUGGAGUCAUUUCUUUCUCUCUUUUUUUUUUUUUUUUAAUUAGGGAAUAGGAUUAGGGAGAAUUUACAGUCAUCAGUGAAAUAGUAUACUAAUCUAACCUUAAUUUUGAAUAUAUGCAACAUUGCAAAUAAUGUUGAAUUAGGACAAAUGCAUUUAUGAUGAACCGGAAAAAGGCUGAUAACCAUCUAAAAGAUAUUAAAUAUUAAUACACAAAUCAAAUCAUCAAGGUAGAAAAAUAGAUAGCGAAAACUGAAAGUAAAAUAUUAAAUAUCUGAAAUUCCAACUCCAUACCCAUCAGAGAAUUUUUCCUCUAAUUCUUUGUAUUGCUGGUACAGAACAUGCCUUCCAGGAAUGACAGAACUCUGAAUGAAGCAAAAAGUGGUAGCUAUAGUAUUUGCAAACAUAUUAUUACGCACAUCUGUGAAUUAUACAACAUUUGGUCAAACAAACCUGUUUGCUAACUAUUGCUCCAAUCUGACUUCCUCUGGGACGGCUAUGGAAGUACUGCUCAGAUUCCUCAUCAGAAACUUUUUCAACAGAGCCUUCCACUCUUACCUACUCAUCACAGUUCACAAUAACAUGGCCUUAAGACAGGAAGAUUGCCCACAAGAAAUGCUUUUGCAGCACAUCAGCUCAUCAAAUUAUAUUAUUGCCAGUUAUGAAUUUUCAAUUUCUGUCUAACUGUAGUAGAUUGGUAAGUAAAAAUUGAAGUUUCUACAGCUACAGGCAACCAGCGCUUGCACCAACUCUUAACUUGUCCAGUACUGGUAGAAUACCAAAAACUAUUUUGAUAGCAUAUCUCAGGUCAGUAUUCACAAUCCUAGACUUACCAUCAUAAUGUAUAAGGUACUUCUAUUCUGUCAACUCUUCUUUUUUAAUUUUCAUUUAAUUUUAUUUUUUACUCAGCAGGGAAUUGGGAUAACCUAACACAAAAUGUGCCCCACAAGCAAGAAUACAACCUACCUGUACCAGCUGCCAAAUGGGGAGAAACCUCAAUCCCUUUAACCCCCAACCAUGGGGCACAGGGAGUAAUAACUAGGUUGUAAUUAAAUCACUGUCUUCUUAUAGAUAGAAAAUUUUACACUCUUAUUGCUUAGUGGCUAAAAAGUUCAGCAAACAAGAUUACUUCAUGUAUCAAAAAAACUGCUCGGUUUGGUUUUUGGCAUCCAGCAAAUAAGAUUCCAGCUUAGACAAGGAAGGUGAAAAUAGAGGAACCAUUUUCAAAGAACCUGCGGGGAAUGUUGACAGAUGGAACAAAGCUAAUCGGAGAAAUAUUGAUACCUGCCGAUUUCGACCAUCCCAGUAGAAAAGAAGAGAUGCGUGAGGAUUUUCACAUAAUUCACAUGCCUUUCUACUUUCAUAAUUGGUGUACCUGCAUUCAGAAAAGAUUGCAGCAUAGGGGAUGAAAACAUUUGCCCAAAAACACUUUUGAUUGCAGCAUUGCCAUUAUAGUAAAAGAACAUUACUGACCAGACAAAACCAUCCCUAUCAACUCCCUUGAGCAAUACCAUUCGUGAUGAGCUGUAGCAAAGUGACAUGAGGUUGAAUGGAUUAGAAAAGGAUAAUUAUAACCACACACAUUUCAACUACAAAGAUCAUCAAUUAGUAUCUAUGCUAGUACAUUGCAAAUUGUAGACCCAAUUUAAAAAAUUUUACAACUUCAAUUAACUAAAUGUUUUAUGCAAUUGGUGCAGUGAAAAUAAAGAAUAAUUUAACUAUGACAUCACAUCUUACUAUAUUAUGCAUCAAUUUUGAGGAUACUUGCUCAACCUCUGCGGUUCUCCUUUUUUUUGACAUUUAAUGGAUCUUUCUUAGUUUUCUCUCAAAAACAAGUGAUAAAAGGAUAUGGUGAUGUUUGAAAUUCAAAGUUUAUUAUUAUUAUUAUUAUGUGUGUAAAUGACAUUGCACAUAGUCCAUGCCUCAUGUUGAACCUUUGUUAUGAAUGCCUAAGUUUCUUGUAAUGGACUUUAUUAAGGGCCGUGUCUAAAAUGACAAGAUGCAAAUUCAGAUGAAUCUACUGAACAUAAUAUUGUUGAUGAAUGAAAAAGAAAUCAAAAGAAUAGAAAGUACGGUUUUCCAUCCUUGCCAACAGUUGAUAAAGCCAUUGCAUUUGGUUCCCUCAAUCCUGCAGCAAUUGCAUCAUCAAACCAUUUCCGAAACUGCAAGAUAACCAAAUUGCUCACUUCAGAUGCAGAGGACAGGUUUCUUUAUUUAUUGGGACAAAAACAUGGCUAAAAUUCCAUUCUCUACUAUAAGCCAGCAACAAGAAUUGAACUCAUGCAUCAAUGAUAAAGAUAUGGAUAUUAAAUGAACGACCAGCCGCACUGCUUUACUUGAUUCAUACCUGAUUAAUGGGGUCAGAUUCAACUUGCUCCUCAAGGAAUUCUGGAGAAAUAUAAUUCUCUCGUAGAGCUGAUAUAUCAACGCUUGGUGCCUUUCCAAUUCGUACACACAUUGAAGUACCAGGAUAAGGUGGAAGACGAAGCUUAUAUUUAUCUGCAAUGACCGGUGGGACAAAUCGACCACCUAGAAAGUGGUGAGGACCACUGAAUUUCUUUGCACACAGUUUGGGAGCAGUUAAAGAAACCUAGAAAACACCAAAGUUGCAUGAUUGGAAAAUUUAAAGAGAGAGAGGGGGGGAGAGAGAGAGAGGACAUGGAAUUCAAAAGGUACACCCUCAACAGUUUUUGGCAGGAAAAGGCAACAUUAAAGGCCCCAUUAAAAACUCACCAGCAUGUCUGGUUUUAUGCCUUCAUCCCCAAUAUCCCCUUCUUCAACGUGCCAACCAGAUGGAAUAUCUACAGAGACAAUAACUGGGCGUUUUUGGUGUGUUUGAUCAUAACCAUGUAGACAAAGCAGUCUCUUAAUCAGAUCAUCAAACGGUGGCCUUGGGGUUCCUGAAGGAUUUUAAGGAGAUAAAUCAGAUUACGCUGAGGAUUUGACAAGGCAUUCCUGAAGAAGUUGUAUGAUCGCAAUCUAUUUAGGUUCUGUAAUCUUUCUGAUUUUUUUUUACAUUUAUAUAUUGCUUAGGCACAAUGAGUAAAAAUUAUUAGAAGGAUUCAAGUAGCCAUGACCCAUUGAGUUGCAUCCGGGAGAUAAUUUUAUAUGGUUUCAUAUUUUUUUCUAGUUGUACAAAUAUAGAGCUGUUUGCCUGUACUAAUGAAGGAACCUUCAAUAAUUUCCAGCCAGGAGUUUUGGAACUUGCAUUACAACCAAAUUAUUAAGCCCAAUAAGUUCAACACACUGGAGAAUCAAACAGUAAAAAGAUGAAGAGUGAAGGCUAAAUAUAUGUAAAAAGAGAAAGACUAAAAGCAGUGUAGAUUGGUUAUUUUUUCUUUUUGUUAUAUUACAACAAAAAUACAUAAAUAUUAAAUUUCUAAGCAAGCAACAUAAAUUAUGGUUUCUUAUGCUAGUGAAACAAACAAGAUUUGGUACUGCAAUGAAGACAUGAAUUUCAUGGGGGGAGAAUAGCAUAACAGUACUUGCAUCCAAUUACUACAAGCGGGACUACAUAAAUAACGAACUCAUUUCAUUAAAAUAUAUAUCCAAACCACAUUUCAUUAACGAAACAGCAAAUUGUUAUUGUGUGAUCAAUUGAUUCAAUCCAUGACACAUGCAAUUUCCUUUUGCUCUUCAGUGUUUAAUAGACACACACAAAGAAAUUACCAUGAAAGGAGAACCCAAACAUUGCAUCUACGAUGAUAUCGAAGUCCUUUGAAAAGUCCAAUGGUAGAUCCUCCACCGACAGGAAAGGGAUUGAUAGCGAUUCAAGCUGUAAAUUUAUCACAUCAAAUGAGACUCCACACAAACUCUAUCUGUUAACACUUGAAAAACAAUUUACGUCAUUUAUACCUGUGUAACCAGACCAGUAUAAAGUGGCUUUUGAGUACGCUUUGGAUAACAGACAAACGGCUUGUAUCCAAAAUGAUACAGAUGUCGAGCAGCUACCAAACCAUCACCUCCAUUGUUCCCCGGACCGCAUAUGGCAAGCACACGAUCAUAUUCACUUGGUUUGUAAACCUGUCAAUUAUAUAUUUUCAACAUCAAAAUUCAUUAUAUAAUCCAAUUUCAGCACUAGAAACAAAACCUAACAACAUGUUACUACACGUCAAAACCUAACAUAAUUACCUCUGCUAUGGAUGUUGCUACACUCAAACCAGCCAAUUCCUGCAAGAGAGAGAAAUUUUAAUAAGCGAGAGAAAAGGAAAACUGGUAAGAUUAAGAAGAUAAGCUAAGAAAUACCAUAAGCUGAUCGACACUGAAGCCGAGAGGUCCCAUGAGAGUCUCAUCAAUUUCGGCAGCUUCUCGCUGAGUGAGAUGAGAUACAGAAUCGGAAUUUUGUGCCGACGACAUUGCGUCUGAUUUUGAGCAAAACGCACGAAUUGCGGGAGCUGAAACUGGACGGAGAAACACCUUAUAGAACGAGUUAUGUCAUUAGUUCGUUAUAAUUCAAUUCAUAUACGAGAAGAGAAGAGAGAGCGUAACCGUACCGAGGAGGAGGAGGACUGAUUGGAGACGAGAAGAGAGAAGGGAUUGCAAGUGGAUUUGAUUGCUGGAGAAGAGUUAUAGUGGUAAGCGAGAGUGAGCGACUGUGCCAGAAGCGAGCAUGUCAUACUCAUUCUUCUGCUUUUGCGUAUCACCGACCACAUUCUUCUAGAGUUCUAGUUACGUUUCGCAUUUUCCCCCGGAAUUUUUAUUUUUUAUUUUUUCAACUUUCGGUUUGCCGUGUGGUUAGUCUAAACUUUGAGGACGUUUGGGAUAAUUUUACUGAAAAGUAAUCAUGUAUUUUUUAAAAGAAAAAAUACUAAUUAAUUAAGAGAAAAAUGAAAUUCUUUGCAUUGCCGUUAAUUUCAGAAUUUGGGAUGAAUUUGUGAAAACUAAAAAAAAAAAGUUAAAUAAUCAAAGAAUACGGUAAAUAAUAUAAACCAAAGGGAAUGGCUUUUCAAUGUGAAUGGUGCAGACUUACACAGGUUCUCAACAUUGCCAUCAAAACCAUUCAAGAAUAAACAUGGCCAUUAUAUCAAAUUGGUAAGUGUCACUUAUGUGCCCGUCAUUUGGUGGUUUUUCUAAUUUGGAUUCACGUCUUCCUUUUCUAACCAACCGAACCUUGCUUCUGAUGAUUUUUGGUCUUCUUAGUUUUCCACAAAAAUAGAAAACCAAGUUCGGUCUUUCUUUCUUUAUUCGCUUUCCAUCAAGGCAUAAAUCAAAGGAGAGCGCCCAGCUUCACAAAAUGUGCAAAUAUAUAUAUAUGUAUAUAUACACAUAGUUCAAGUGAUUCUACUGAGAAAUAGUACCCAAACCCUCCUACUUAUUGAAUUUACCAUAUUCCUACCAAUCUAUACCCUCCUAGGAAGAAUGAGAGCACCAGGUUCCAUGUUGCGUGUUAUUCAAUAAUGGCAAAUAGGGCCUAGGGCUAGAAAGAAUCUCUAUUUGCUGGUUCACCUCUCUGGAUUGAUACCAGGUUCAAUUGAAAAAUAAAAAAAGGAUGCAAAGCGCCCAACUUCACAAAAUGUGCAAAUAUAGCAAAGAAGGAUUCCACUAUGCCAUCCAGGCCUGCAGUUAGCCUUGUGAAUAUUUGUCUGUUAGAAGUCUUCUAUUAGCGGUAGUGUCUCGAUGGGUGACCUCAGCCGGAACUGGGUCAAAGAUACUAUAUAUAUAUAUAUAUACACACAAAUUAAUAUACUACAAUAAAUAUGAAUUUUAAGUAAUAAUUUUGAAAAAAAAUAAUAAAAAUAUUAUAAAUUUUUUAUUAUACAAAUGGUGGAUUGAAGUAAGUUUCUAAGCUACUAUCAUAAUAAUUAGUGUUUAUAAAAGACUUCAGUCUAAUUGUUUUUAAGUUGCUAAACCUUAAUGUUAAACAGGAUUUAAAACACAAUUUUCUAUUAAUUUCUCAAUAUUAUGUCUUUUGAGAAGAUUAAUGCCGCCUUAUAACUUGUGAUGAAAAUUUUGACAUAAAUUUUGAGAUCACCAAAUGUCGACAAUUAAUGGAAUGCAAAGACAAGGUUCGCUAGCUCUGGCUACAUCGAAUCAUUGUGCCUCUUAUACGUUCAGGUCGCAGUUGACCAGCCAUUGCUGAAUGCCAGAGCUCUGAGAAUAUAUUAAAAAGUUGAUUACAUCAUAAAAUAAAUUAAUGAGCAGUUACACAAACCACUGGCAUAUAAUUUAUCCCACUUGCUAUUGAUUCUACAUUUGAAAAGUUAAAACGAAUAAAAUUUCAAUUUCACAUCAUAUUCUUUUCUUGCGCUUCUCCAAGCGUGUAGUUACUUUUCUUCUUCAUCAAGCAAAGUCUUUUGAAUCCUCUCAAUGAAGCUCAACAUUGUUUCUAAACCCUUUUCAUCUGCAAACAAAUAUAUAUAUAGGGAGAGAUCCUAUGAAUAAAUCAUAAAUUGAAAACAAAGUCGAUAGAGAGACAGGAAGCAAUGAUUCAGUAAGUUAAUUACCAAGCCUCGGUAUUGUGUGCCCCUUGGGAUGAUGAAUUACAAAAGGAUCUACACAUUUUUCCAAUAGUUCCAAACCAUAAGGCUUUAAGAAAUCCGUCUCACCUGCAACCAAACAAGAAUCAACAGUUGCAUAUGUAUAAAUUAUUUAUAAGUUAUAUAUUCGUCAAACACAUUCAACUUUUAUAUCACAACAUGACAGACACUUAGUUAAUUACUUUAUAAAACUGAACAAGUUUCUAUAUCUACAAAUGAUGCCAAAAAACCAGUUCAAUAUUCUAGAACAAGAUUUGCUCUCUAAUAGUCCAGACACGGGAACAACUUAGAUCAUGAUAUGAUACAAUUUGCAAAAGGCAGUGUCUAUGGUGGAGAGGCUCCACCGUAGAGCACUGCCUAAAAAUCACAUGGUCAAAGUGAUAAAUAGUAAAAAUAAAGUUAUUGUUAGAUCAUAUGGUUAUUAACAGUGCUAUACGGUGGUGCAACUCUACAGCAGCCGGAUUGCAAAUUUACAGUGAACUUGUUUCAAUUAAUUUUAACACCAACCCAUAUUCAAGACGUAACACCUAUGCAAUUGGCAUACAUAUUCAAGAUGCGAUCAUAUUGUAACAAAUUACUAGCCAAACGAAACUGGAGAUAAAAUGAAUUUUAUUGCGCGAUAGAUGUCUUGAAAGUAACCUUUGUCACCGAGUCAAGGGAAUCCUUGUGCUGCGCACACCUACUUUGAAUGAUGGGGAGCUUUAGUCCAACACCUAAUGCUUUAUUUUUUUAUGUUUGACUCCACCUAUUUCACAUUAAUUAAUACUAAAGAUUCCAAAACUAAAAAUUAUUGAAAAAAAUGUUGCAAUACAACUUGCAUGUAAGUUGACGAGCAGUACAAUUUAGAAAAUAAUUCAUGGGAUGACAAAAUUCCAUCACUUUCACAUGAGUCAAAGCAGCAAAGCUAUUAAAUGUUUUAAAAUAAGGAACGGCGAAGGAGAUGGUACCUAAGAAGUGGAGUGUUGGGCAUCGAAUGGGCGACGAAUAUGCGUUCUCAGCCACAGAUGGCGCCUUGAACAUGGCACCUCCAACGAUAAUCAGGAACUUUAUUUUUGGAACUUUUGUAAGAGCCACGCCCUGCAAGCAAAACAACACCGCGACACCAAUUACUUAAUUAAUUGAUAUUUUUAUUUUCUGCCGGUUCUCGAACUCGAAGAAUACAAACAAAAGUUAACAGCCUAAACGCACCUUCGCUUGCAUACCCGCCAGCCCCGCCGAGAGUAUCGCCCCCUGUUAUUGCCAUUUAACGAUACGUGAAUUAAUCAUGAGAAAUAACUAGUCAAAGAUUAAUAGUCGACGAACCUGUGAGAAUCCCAGAAGCCCAUCAAACGGGCCAUGUUUGAUCAUGUAAUCUUCAAUGUAUGCAAGGCACUUGUCAAAGUUUGUGUACUCUGUAAAUUCCUAUAAUUAACAAUAAUUUUUUUAAAAAAAAUCAGAAAUUAUGAACUUGGUAAUCAAAGAAGGCGAAAGUGAAAGUGAAAGAAACAGAAUUCGGACUUCAGACCUUGUUGAACUGGAACCACUCGUAAUAAGGAGGAUCAAAGAUGCCUUCCACGUCAGAUUUACCUUGGGCAGGGUGCGCCCCGUUGGGGAAAACAAGAUCGAGAUUGUCGAGUACUUGUUGAGGCCAUUUUCCUAUCUGUUUCUUGAGAAUUUCUCCGCUUGUUCUGAAUCCAUGCAGACAAAGAACUCUUGGUUUCCUCACAAUCCCAGCUUCACUUCCCAUCUUUUCUCAAUUUUCUGAAAAAAAAUUAUGAACGCUUUAUACUUUGAGGCUUUUUCUGUUCCGCUAUGUUUGGAGGUUUUUAAAUGUUAAGAGCCCCUCUUUUUAUGUGGGGACCUGAAAUAGUGAAAUUUACUCGUCUCAGAUUCUGCGCGUUUGUAAGGAUGCCUCCCGCGGGGCAUAUGCCGCGCUGAGUAUAAUAGUUACACGUGCUCUCCUAGUUCUAGAAUGAUUGGUACGUAAUGGACGCUGAAGAUGGCACAGAUUGUUUUCUCAACGGCUGUGAUCUGCUAUGUGAAUCUCGUGCAAUGUGUCCUGUGGUUCAUGCAUUGACUUGUGGGCAGUAGGUAGAGAACUCGUUCAAGGGUUUGAUGUGUUCAUCAAUUACGUUAAACUGCGCCCUCUGCCUCUUUGAUAAUCCGCUGCUUAGGGAUGGCAAUGUAGAGGGGAGGGGAGGGGACCAAUCUCUCCGUAUUUAUCUAUGAUAUUUUGCGUAUGUCUCUGUCUCCUUCCCAUCCCUGUCAAAAUUAUUUAAGAGAAUCUUCAUCCCCUCUCCGAAUAAUAACAGGGGAUCCCUGAUGGUCCCCGAUCCCCGAAUAACUAAUACAUUUUUUUUUCGAUUUUGAGUUAAUCAUAUUAAAAUAAAAAAUUCAAAUAAAAGUAAAGUUCGAAAUAUAUCUUACAUUAAUAUCCAUUACAAAAGUCACAUACAUUAAAUUAGUAAGUAACGCAGCAUGCGAGGGAUACAAACUAUCAUGAAUAAAUUAAUAGCCCAAUACAAAAUUGUUACAAAUAAAAUCAAAUUUAGAUUCAAAAUUAACUUUUCAAUGGUGGCGUGGGCACUUUAUAAAUGUGGAUUAUUCCCUUUACAACAUAAUAGUUAAGUCGAAGCAAAUCAAGAGCAAAUAUUAUAUUAGAUUAGAUAUUAAAAUUGUGAUUUUCUGUGGGCAAUUAUAAGAUCUAAAAAUAAAUAAAAAAUAGAUUUAAGAUAAAUAAAAAAUAGAUUUAAGUUUAAAAUAUUUAAUGAAUAUUAAAAUUAAAACAAAAGUUUUGGGCUAAUAGAAUAUGUCCGGUCUUUUUAAUGUCAUAAAUAAAAAUUUAGGACUUUAAUUAGUUAAUUAGGCCUAAAAGUUUAAUAAUAUAAAUAUUUUGAUAUUUUUUAUUUUUACCAAUACUUAUAAUUUUAUAAUUCAAAUUUUAUAAUUUAUUUACUAGUAAUUUUAAAAAUAAAAAUUAAAUUAAAAAUUAAAAUGGAGAAAUGGGUAGAGGAUGGGGAUUCCACCUCAUCCCCGUCCCCUCCCCGAAUAAGAAAUUGGGUAAAAAGAUGAUCAGGCACCUUGAUGUGUUCAUCAAUUACGUUAAACUGCGCCCUCUGCCUCUUGAUAAUCCGCUGCUUUAAUGGGAAGUUCAUUUUAUUCUUUUUAGAUUAUUCCUCGUGAAAUAAUAGUUUUAUCCUUUUUAACAUAUCUUUUAGUUAUUGUAAAUUUUAAUUUUUUUUAUUCAAAUAACAAAGAAAAAUUUAUGGCACGUUGAUGAAAAUUUUAUUAUAUUCCUAAUAAAAAUGAUAGAUGAGCUGAGGUUACAAUAAUUUAGAAAGUAUUUUGAAGAUCAUUAUUCCAUGAGAGAUAAAUUUUGAAUUAUCAUUCCCGUUAAAUGACAAUUUUCAAAUACACUUUAAAUUAUUGUAAACUUCAACUUAUUCCAUUUUUAUUCAAAAGAUAAGGAAAAAAAUAGGGGUGAAUUGAUGAAGAUUUUUUUUUUUUUAAUCUUCUUCACAAAAAUGAGAGUUAUAUUAAGGUUUACAACAAUUUCAUGGGUAUUUUGAAAAUUAUCAUUUCACGAGAAGCAAUACAAAAUUAACAUUUUAUUCCUUCAAGAACGUCUCACUCAGCCACAAUUUCUUUGUUUGUUUGUUAAAUUUCUUAAUCUAUUCGAUACACUUCUUUAAUUUUACAAAUACACGUUUUAAGAUAAGGCAUAUGUUAAUAAUUAUAGUAAAAUAAAUAAUGAAAAUUUCAUGAUGACUAUAAAAAGCAACUAUGACAGAAUAGUUUAUUUAAUUUUCCAUGCAAACUCUCCAAGAUCUGGACGUGCCACGCUACUGACUAGUAAAAUAAGAGUAUGGGAGGCGCAAUUAUUUAGUUGAUAACUUAAUAUGAAAGAUAAGCCGUCGAUUUUCAUGAUUUUGUUUUGUUUUCUCAUUUUACAUUGAUUCAUGUUGCACUGUCACCGCAACGCUAUGUCAAGCACCAGAGCUAAAACCAAAAUUGGAAAUGCGAUGGGCCGAAAGUCUAAACCUAUGCUCGGUUGGGCGUAAACGAGGUGAGAGGUGAGCUGUUUUUUUUUGUUUUCUCUUGGCUUUCCAUCGUUCGGAGCGAAAAUUGACCGGAAAUCAAAUUCCGUUUCAACUCUAAUUUCUAUUAUUUGAGAAAUUUAUUAGUUUCUUUAUUGAGAAGUAAGGAAAUUUGGAUUCCACUCAAUUAAAAAGUUACAUUUUUCUAUUUUACCUCAUUUAAUUGUUGAUUUACAAUUUUACCGCUGAAAAAAUCUUUAAAAAAUCUAACAAAAUGAGAAUUAGUUUUUUUUUUAAUGUCAAAGUCCUUUACAAAAAAUCGGUAAAUCUUUUAAACUUUUGGCCACUUUCAUAAGUAAUAAGAGCAUCGGCGAUAGCAUUUGAGAAUAAGAGAAUAUUUAAAAUUUCAACAAUGUCUUAUCUAUCUUACUUUCAUGAAAUUGUUUAGAGUUUGAACCAUAAGACUUUCGUCGGCGAGCUUCAUCGAUUCUCGAUCGGCUAUUGACAACUGCCUUCACUAUUACCUUAGCAAUAUCCGAUAUUUUAGCUUUAUGAUUCCUCACCUUAGAUGCAGUUUCUCAUCUCCUCAACCUAUUAUAUUUUGUCAUUUCGGUUGUUUGGAUGCUCUUGUUGACUUCUUAUUGUUGGUUGUUGUAAUUGUUUUGGUGAGCUUUAAUGAGCUUAUGAUGUUGUGCAUUUUGUAGACUUGGAACAUGGCUAUUGCAAUUGUUCAUGCCAUAACGUCAACAGGAAUCAAUUUAUCAACAGCGUUACGAUUCAUUACAUAAUUAAUUUAUUGAAUAAUUAAUUCCAGCUUGUGAGAGCAAUUAUCAUUGACUUGUUAUCUUAAUUCGGUGGGAUGUGUGUGGGUUGUGGGUUAUGGCUAUUUUUAAUUGUUGUGUUGCUUCAAAAUUGCCCGUGAAUGGUGGUAGUCUGAUUCAAUUCUUGAUUUGAUUAAAAAUGUUGUUAGGAUUGCUAACAUGUGUAUUGUUUACUGUGUUUCCGGUUUGACACUUGAUACAACUGCUGUAAAAAUGGUGUCUUGUAAUUUAUUGUUAAUAGGAAUUUUAUCUAGCAAAAGAGUAAACUAAUAGGGUGCCAGAAUUUAAAAAGUGCAUUUCAAAUUUUAAAUUUAGGAGUAAGUUGCCGAAUUGUUUAAGUUACAAGGGCAAAUCAUUAGAAAGUUUACCCGUUAAAUAGAAGUGAUGCUCAUACAGACUUAUGGUGAGCCACGCCUACUCAACCCCGGCUUGAUAAAUACGUUAUCUAAAAAUAAUUCUUUUUUUUGGGCCUAAAGGGCCCUUAGGCUACGAGCUCUGCCCUUGGAUGCCAAGGCUCUCGUUUCGUAUGUAAUCUGUUGGGGCUCCAUUUUAAGUAGGAAAAAAGUUAAGUACAAAGCACCGAUACGAUAAUUAAUUAGAGUAAUAAUACAGUCAUAAAUUCUUAUAUAAAUUUAUUUUGUAUAAAUUGAUGCGGCAUUAGUUUAUUGGUUGAAUGAAAAUAUAAAAUAAUAAAAAUAAAUCAUGUGGGCCAAGUGAUAUUUAAUUCAACCAAUCUUAUCAUGCCACAUCAGUACAAAAUAAAUUUAUACAAGAAUUUAUGGCUAUAUCAUUACUCAAUUAAUUAAUUAUUACUAUAGCAAAAAGAGUUGGACUAUUGACACACUGCCAAAAGCUCUUAAAACCCCUUCCCUUUUUUCAAUCCAGUCAAAUAUUCAAAGAUCUCGCAACAACCUUCUUAAUGACAUUAUUAACCUCGCACUACAUUAAUAAAAAUAUUCGCCCAACCUUUCAAUUUUCAUUUUUAUUUUCUGAAGCCCCAUACUGACGUGAACUUUUGUUCCACUUCCUCUUAGAUUUCUGUAUAAAAUAAAGAUUGUUUCUUCUCUACUUCUCAACUUCCAAUAAUACAAGAAUUUAAAAAAUUUGAACAAAAUAUUGUUUCUAUGUGUUUAUCAAAGUUCUUUUUUUUUUUUUCAAAAAAAGAGACCCAUAGCAUUUAUUUUUCAUAGAUUCCAAAUUUAAUUAGGAAAUUUAUAAAAUUUUCACUGUUUUAUUGGCACCUCUUGGCGCCGCCAUAUCAAAUGAUGAAGUGCUAAUGAUGUCUAGUGAUGAAAAUUUCGAUGACGUUCAAUAAAAUAGAGAGAGAUUUACAAAUUAAUAUGAAACUAUUAAUCUGGGUGUAAAUGGAAAAAUAACUUCCGGUAAUUUUUUUUUUCAUUUUAAUUAGAUAUAGUCCUUAAAUGUAAUUCCAGUGAAGGUUAAAAUGGUAAAUAUAGGAAAGGUGUUUUAAAAGGAUUUUCAAGAGGCGGCCAAUAGUCAAGAAUAUAUUUAAUAGAUAAUUGCCAGUUGAAUAUAUCUUAAUAACUAGUCUUGUACAUAUGUUAAAGAAUGAAACAGUUGUAUGGGACUUUAAACCACUUUGGAGUGGGGGAGGGGGAAGCCAGUUUUACAUCCCUAUUUAGUGUGUUUGUGGUAAUAAAUGGUAUUCUUUGACUCAUAAUUAUUCGCCAUAGGUUUCUAACAUACUUAAGAGUGGCACCAACAUAUUUCGCUGAACCCCUAUACGUAAUUUAUCAUUUCGUUACAUGCAUAUUGCCACUCAAAACAUAUUAUAUGAAUUCACUGCAACAAGUUGCAGAAUACCAUGGAUGAUGAAUUCACAAUGAGGAAGCAGAGAAUACUAGUCAGGGACACAAGCGGUUGAUUUUCCAUACCCGUUUUCCGUUGAUUUCCUGAGGAGAAU